CUAGCCGUAAACGAUGGAAACUAGGCGUUGUGAGUAUCGACCCUCACAGUGUCGUAGCUAACGCGUUAAGUAUCCCGCCUGGGGAGUACGCGCGCAAGCGUGAAACUCAAAGGAAUUGACGGGGGCCCGCACAAGCGGUGGAGUAUGUGGUUUAAUUCGAUGCAACGCGAAGAACCUUACCAGGACUUGACAUGUCGCGAAUCUCAGGGAAACUUGAGAGUGCCUUCGGGAGCGCGAACACAGGUGGUGC
RNAcentral lists this ribosomal RNA (250 nucleotides) under uncultured Chroococcidiopsis sp. Its description in RNAcentral is "partial 16S ribosomal RNA". It matches the Rfam family "Bacterial small subunit ribosomal RNA", at positions 796 to 1044 of the family's 1533-position model. Lineage: Bacteria; Bacillati; Cyanobacteriota; Cyanophyceae; Chroococcidiopsidales; Chroococcidiopsidaceae. The record is from RNAcentral.